Dendronephthya gigantea is the source of this 158-nucleotide long non-coding RNA. RefSeq lists it as uncharacterized. The transcript is spliced from 3 exons. The record is from RefSeq and is a predicted model, not a curated record. Lineage: Eukaryota; Metazoa; Cnidaria; Anthozoa; Malacalcyonacea; Nephtheidae.
GGAGCUUAGUUCGAUGCUUGGGCAGUUGAAUCUACAGAAAGAUGUGAAGAGAAGACGGCCAUCCGAAUUAAAGUACUAAAUGUGCUUUGUAACAUAUUAGGAACGUUAUUUCCACUAUAUGAGGCAGAAAUACUUGAGAAUUCAGUGUUGCCACAUUU